RNAcentral lists this long non-coding RNA (2752 nucleotides) under Oncorhynchus mykiss (rainbow trout). RNAcentral's name for it is "lncRNA (ENSOMYG00000053677.1)". Lineage: Eukaryota; Metazoa; Chordata; Actinopteri; Salmoniformes; Salmonidae. The record is from RNAcentral.
GUGUUUCUCACACAUUCUCAUGUGGUACCUGUCAUGUGGUGGUUCUCAUGUGGUACUUCUCAUGUGGUGGUUCUCAUGUGGUACCUGUCAUGUGGUGGUUCUCAUGUGGUACCUGUCAUGUGGUGGUUCUCAUGUGGUUCUCAUGUGGUUCUUAUUUGGUUCUCACGUGGUUCCCAUGUGGUUCUCAUGUGGUACUUAUCAUGUGGUUCUCAUGUGGUACUUCUCAUGUGCUGGUUCUCAUGUGGUUCUUAUUUGGUUCUCAUGUGGUUCUCAUGUGGUACUUCUCAUGUGGUUCCCAUGUGGUGGUUCUCAUGUGGUUCUUAUUUGGUUCUCAUGUGGUUCCCAUGUGGUUCUCAUGUGGUUCUCAUGUGGUACUUCUCAUGUGGUUCUUCUCAUGUGGUUCUCAUGUGGUGCAUAUCAUGUGGUUCUCAUGUGCUUCUCAUGUGGAACUCAUGUGGUACUUCUCAUGUGGUGUUUAUCAUGUGGUUCUCAUGUGGUUCUCAUGUGGUACUCAUGUGGUACUUCUCAUGUGGUGUUUAUCAUGUGGUUCUAAUGUGGUACUCAUGUGGUUCUCAUGUGGUACUUCUCAUGUGGUGGUUCUCAUGUGGUGGUUCUCAUGUGGUUCUCAUUUGGUUCUCAUGUGGUACUUCUCAUGUGGUUCCCAUGUGGUGGUUCUCAUGUGGUACUCUUGUGGUUCUCAUGUGGUUCUCAUGUGGUACUUCUCAUGUGGUGGUUCUCAUGUGGUGGUUCUUAUUUGGUUCUCAUGUGGUUCUCAUGUGGUACUUCUCAUGUGGUUCCCAUGUGGUGGUUCUCAUGUGGUACUCUUGUGGUUCUCAUGUGGUUCUCAUGUGGUACUUCUCAUGUGGUGGUUCUCAUGUGGUGGUUCUUAUUUGGUUCUCAUGUGGUUCUCAUGUGGUACUUCUCAUGUGGUUCCCAUGUGGUGGUUCUCAUGUGGUUCUCAUGUGGUACUUCUCAUGUGGUUCUCAUGUGGUGUUUCUCAUGUGGUUCUCAUGUGGUGCUUCUCAUGUGGUUCUCAUGCGGUGCUUCUCAUGUGGUGUUUCUCAUGUGGUACUUCUCAUGUGGUUCUCAUGUGGUACUUCUCAUGUGGUGUUUAUCAUGUGGUUCUCAUGUGGUUAUCAUGUGUUACUUCUCAAGUGGGUCUCAUGUGGUUCUUAUUUGGUUCUCAUGUGGUUCUCAUGUGGUACUUCUGAUGUGGUUCUUCUCAUUUGGUUCUCAUGUGGUUCUCAUGUGGUACUUGUCAUGUGGUACUUCUCAUGUUGUUCUCAUGUGGUACUUCUCAUGUGGUUCUCAUGUGGUACUUCUCAUGUGGUUCUCAUGUGGUACUUCUCAUGUUGUUCUCAUGUGGUACUUCUCAUGUGGUGCGUAUCAUGUGGAACUCAUGUGGUACUUCUCAUGUGGUGCUUAUUAUGUGGUUCUCAUGUGGUGUUUCUCAUGUGGUUCUCAUGUGGUGUUUCUCAUGUGGUUCUCAUGUGGUAUUUCUCAUGUGGUUCUCAUGUGGUGCGUAUCAUGUGGUUCUUAUGUGGAACUCAUGUGCUGCAGUUCACGCUAGGAGAGAGUUGACACUGGUAGUGGAGGGGUCAUCACCUCUUAAUCAGGGAACAUGAGGGGCCUUAGCUGGAAACACAAAUGUUAGAUUUGGGCUCCAAGUUUCUCCAUGAAGUUGUACUCAGACAUCUCAGAAUUGACCAAGUCAAAGACAGACUGCAACAUCUUUCCCACUUGACACAUCAAAGUAGCCCGAGAAACGUUCCUGAAUAAUAAAUCCCUGAUCAUACACACGCCUGACGAUAACUGUGUUUCUGUUCAUAUCUUAUUUCUUAUCGUUGUUUGAUUGUGGAGAAGGAACCUGCAGGAAUCAUUUUGUUGGACAGUUUAUACCAUGUGUAUCCUGUACAUACGACUAAUAAACCUUAAAACAACCAACUUCGAUUUUUUUGAGUUUCUUCUAAUCUGGUCACCUAACCAGAUAAAACUCUGGGCCCUAAAACUCUGGACCCUAUAGGGUAUGACAGCAUUAAUCAGUUGUAAAAGUGUUUUAUGUGGGCUGUGAUGGGACAGAGUGGCGCAGCUGUCUAAGGCGCUGCGUCUCAGUGCUAGAGGCGUCACGACAUACACCCUGAUUCGAUUCCAGGCUGUGUCACAACCGGCCGUGAUUGGGCGGCACACAAUUGGCCCAGUGUCGUCCGGGUUUGGCCGGUCAUUGUAAAUUGACUUGCCUAGUUAAAUAAAGGUUUAUAAAAAAAACGUAUUUAAAAACUCCUGGCCUUGGUGAGGCUGAAAACCCUGUCAAACUGCAACAACCUUCUACUUGUUCAUGUGAAUUAUAUUUACACUAGACUAACGGGGAUUUCCUCUACCCAGACACAGAGACAAUAACUGAUAGACAGUAGAACUCACAGGGCGGUGCUUGAUGUAGGCCUGAUUAAACACUAACUUACAGGAGCUUGAUUUAUGCUUGUUCGUGUAGGCCUGAUUAAACACUAAUUUACAGGAGCUUGAUUUAUGCUUGUUCGUGUAGGCCUGAUUAAACACUAACUUACAGUCUAUGACAUCACUAUUGUGUUAAUUGAUUCAUUACAGGUAAUCAUGUGUUGAAAAGGUCUAGGCCUAGCCAGCCAAGUUGGAAUACAACAAAUUGACUAAAUAAAUGGACUAUAAAUGGAGAAAUUGAUUACAAAAUACUGAUUAAUUUAAAGAUGUGCCCCCGAAUCGCCCCCUUCCCCUAAAACAC